RNAcentral lists this ribosomal RNA (539 nucleotides) under Asteroidea sp. RCMBAR069. Its description in RNAcentral is "partial 16S ribosomal RNA". It matches the Rfam family "Bacterial large subunit ribosomal RNA", at positions 1916 to 2597 of the family's 2925-position model. Lineage: Eukaryota; Metazoa; Echinodermata; Asteroidea. The record is from RNAcentral.
GACUUAGUUAAACGGCCGCGGUAUUUUGACCGUGCAAAGGUAGCAUAAUCAUUUGCCUUUUAAAUGGGGGCUGGUAUGAAUGGCAAGACGGAAAUUAGACUGUCUCUUUCUUUUUUUUUGAAUUUGAUCUUUCUGUGAAGAAGCAGGAAUGUAGUCGUGGGACGAGAAGACCCUGUCGAGCUUUAAUGGGCCUGGGUAGGCGAUUGAAGUUGCUUACUUGCUAAUUUAUUCGUUGAUAAGGAUGAGUGGUAUUACUUGUGUUUGUGGCGACGUUUUAUGUAGGCCGUUUUGGUUGGGGCAACCGCGGAGAAUAUGUAUCCUCCGCUGGGUUCGAUAAGUAAAAUGAUGGUUUUCUUACUUGUUAUGUUUGUGUGAUCCGCUGUUUGGGCGAGCAAAAGAACAAGUUACCGCAGGGAUAACAGCGUAAUUCUUUUAGAGAGUUCAUAUUGAUAAGGGAGUUUGCGACCUCGAUGUUGGAUCGGGAUUUCCUGGGGGUGCAGCAGCUCCCGAGGGUUGGUCUGUUCGACCAUUAAAAUCCU